This is a non-coding RNA of Trachymyrmex septentrionalis, 76 nucleotides long. The record is from Rfam. Lineage: Eukaryota; Metazoa; Arthropoda; Insecta; Hymenoptera; Formicidae.
GUCUUAGUGGUCGAGCUGGUUAAGACACUCGCUCCGGAAAGUCGAGAGGUUCCAGGUUCGAAUCCUAGCUGAGAUA